This 460-nucleotide ribosomal RNA is filed under the name uncultured bacterium. Its description in RNAcentral is "partial 16S ribosomal RNA". It matches the Rfam family "Bacterial small subunit ribosomal RNA", at positions 338 to 795 of the family's 1533-position model. The record is from RNAcentral.
CCUACGGGUGGCAGCAGUGAGGAAUAUUGGUCAAUGGGCGUAAGCCUGAACCAGCCAAGUAGCGUGAAGGAUGAAUGCCCUAUGGGUUGUAAACCUCUUUUAUAAAGGAAUAAAGUGAGGCACGUGUGCCUUUUUGUAUGUACUUUAUGAAUAAGGAUCGGCUAACUCCGUGCCAGCAGCCGCGGUAAUACGGAGGAUCCGAGCGUUAUCCGGAUUUAUUGGGUUUAAAGGGAGCGUAGGUGGCCUUUUAAGUCAGUGGUGAAAGUUUGUGGCUCAACCGUAAAAUUGCAAUUGAUACUGGAAGUCUUGAGUAUAUUUGAGGUAGGCGGAAUGCGUGGUGUAGCGGUGAAAUGCUUAGAUAUCACGAAGAACCCCGAUUGCGAAGGCAGCUUACUAAGCUGCCACUGACAUUGAUGCUCGAAAGCGUGGGGAUCAAACAGGAUUAGAUACCCCUGUAGUC